AGCAGUCGCCGCGGGAAUACGUAGGUGGCAAGCGUUGUCCGGAAUUAUUGGGCGUAAAGGGCUCGCAGGCGGUUUCUUAAGUCUGAUGUGAAAGCCCCCGGCUCAACCGGGGAGGGUCAUUGGAAACUGGGAAACUUGAGUGCAGAAGAGGAGAGUGGAAUUCCACGUGUAGCGGUGAAAUGCGUAGAGAUGUGGAGGAACACCAGUGGCGAAGGCGACUCUCUGGUCUGUAACUGACGCUGAGGAGCGAAAGCGUGGGGAGCGAACAGGAUUAGAUACCCGCGUAGUCCCUGUCUCUUAUAA
Molecule: ribosomal RNA, 303 nt
Filed under: uncultured bacterium
Lineage: Bacteria
Description: partial 16S ribosomal RNA
Rfam family: Bacterial small subunit ribosomal RNA
Source: RNAcentral